Molecule: transfer RNA, 73 nt
Filed under: Aphanotorulus emarginatus
Lineage: Eukaryota; Metazoa; Chordata; Actinopteri; Siluriformes; Loricariidae
Description: tRNA-Thr
Rfam family: tRNA
About the family: Transfer RNA (tRNA) molecules are approximately 80 nucleotides in length. Their secondary structure includes four short double-helical elements and three loops (D, anti-codon, and T loops).
Source: RNAcentral
GCCCUAGUAGCUUAAUACCCAAAGCGCCGGUCUUGUAAUCCGGAAAUUGAAGGUUAAAAUCCCUCCUAGUGCC